CACAGCAGACCUCAAACCCCGCCAAGUCUCACCCACUGUGAGACAUCCCCUGUCUGAUGGAAACGGACAGUCUGAGACGCACCAAACCCUACCCAUUGGAAUAAUAAAUAACGCUCCACUAAAUCCAUCACGCCAUGCUCUAUAGCAUAACAAAUCAGGGCACACAAGUGGGGGGAGGAGAGAGAGACAAAGAGUGCUACAACUGGG
This is a non-coding RNA of Pelobates cultripes (western spadefoot toad), 207 nucleotides long. Lineage: Eukaryota; Metazoa; Chordata; Amphibia; Anura; Pelobatidae. The record is from the annotation of a GenBank genome assembly.